Molecule: ribosomal RNA, 500 nt
Filed under: uncultured bacterium
Lineage: Bacteria
Description: partial 16S ribosomal RNA
Rfam family: Bacterial small subunit ribosomal RNA
Source: RNAcentral
GACGAACGCUGGCGGCGUGCUUAACACAUGCAAGUCGAACGGGUCUGCCCUGUUUUUUGCGGGGUGGGUCAGUGGCGACCGGGUGAGUAACACGUGAGUAACCUGCCCCUCACUUCUGGAUAACCGCUUGAAAGGGUGGCUAAUACGGGGUGUUCUGGCUGUGCCGCAUGGUGUGGCUGGGAAAGAUUCACUUUUGUGGUGUUUUGGUGGGUGAUGGGCUCGCGGCCUAUCAGCUUGUUGGUGGGGUGAUGGCCUGCCAAGGCUUUGACGGGUAGCCGGCCUGGGAGGGUGGGCGGUCACACUGGGACUGAGAGACGGCCCAGACUCCUGAGGGAGGCAGCAGUGGGGGGUAUUGCACAAUGGGCGGAAGCCUGAUGCAGCGACGUCGCGUGAGGGAUGGAGGCCUUCGGGUUGUGAACCUCUUUUGCCGGUGAAGAAGGUCCUGCUCUUUGUGGUGGGGUUGACGGUAGCCGGGUUAUGAAGCGCCGGCUAACUACGUG